Molecule: long non-coding RNA, 248 nt
Filed under: Homo sapiens (human)
Lineage: Eukaryota; Metazoa; Chordata; Mammalia; Primates; Hominidae
Description: non-protein coding lnc-WDR26-4:1
Source: RNAcentral
GACUAGGAGCUGGCGGUCCGAGCUGUGGCUUGGAAGACCGACGCGAUGAAGCCCAGACCUGCAGGGUUCGUGGAUAAUAAACUCAAGCAGCGAGUCAUCCAGUAUAGACUAUGGUCGAAGAAAAAGAAAUGCUUUUAGGAUUCAGGUAGAAAAAGCAUAAUUAGUAGUGAGAAGGAACUUAAGAAUUUAACAGAAUUAGAAGAUGAACAUUUGGCAAAAAGGGCAAGACAAGGUGAAGAGGAUAAUGA